RNAcentral lists this long non-coding RNA (213 nucleotides) under Sus scrofa (pig). Its description in RNAcentral is "lncRNA (ENSSSCG00005027186.1)". The record is from RNAcentral. Lineage: Eukaryota; Metazoa; Chordata; Mammalia; Artiodactyla; Suidae.
AACUUUUCCCUGUGUUAUCCCGUUUCUAUUGGCUUAUCUCUAAUAACUAUGAUAAUAAAAUUUAAACAAGAGUAGAAAAGGGCUUGGACUCAUGAAUAUGAAAAAAUGACAAGCUGCAACUUGUGAGUGUGAAAUGCUGUGAACUCUUCAUUGGUGGUUUCCAACUUGAAACAGAUCUGAGAGUUUCAGCUGUAAGAAGGGCUGGAACAAGUG